CUGGUUGAUCCUGCCAGUAGUCAUAUGCUUGUCUCAAAGAUUAAGCCAUGCAUGUCUAAGUACAUACUUUUGCACGGUGAAACCGCGAAUGGCUCAUUAAAUCAGUUAUGGUUUCUUAGAUCGUUUCUUUUACGUGGAUAACUGUGGUAAUUCUAGAGCUAAUACAUGCAAAAAGCUCCGACCGUUUGGGAAGAGCGCUUUUAUUAGACCAAAACCAAUGGGGUCGCAAGAUCCCUUUGUUUGGUGACUCUGGAUAACUUUGUGCUGAUCGCAUGGCCUAGAGCCGGCGACGUAUCUUUCAAGUGUCUGCCCUAUCAACUUUCGAUGGUAAGCGAUUUGCCUACCAUGGUUGUAACGGGUAACGGGGAAUCAGGGUUCGAUUCCGGAGAGGGAGCAUGAGAAAUGGCUACCACAUCUACGGAAGGCAGCAGGCGCGCAAAUUACCCACUCCUAGAACGGGGAGGUAGUGACGAAAAAUAACAAUACCGGACUCUAAGAGGCUCGGUAAUUGAAAUGAGUACAGUUUAAAACCCUUAACGAGGAUCUAUUGGAGGGCAAGUCUGG
Molecule: ribosomal RNA, 564 nt
Filed under: uncultured eukaryote
Lineage: Eukaryota
Description: SSU rRNA
Rfam family: Eukaryotic small subunit ribosomal RNA
Source: RNAcentral